GUCGUUCGCCGCUGCUUCGCGGGGAGGAGGGGUUGCGGGGGUUGCAGCGGUUGUGGGGGCUUCAGGGGCCGCGUAGCGGCUUCCCUUGGGCCCAAAAAAGGGAGGGUCUCUCUGGCCCUAAAAUUCAUCCAGGGCUGGUGUCUGUCGGAGGGCGGGUGAGGCUGCUUCUGGGCUGGGUGCGGUGUUUUGAGAUGGGUUUUUCCCAACCUGGCCACAAGACAAUUUAGGAGCUGACUCCUGAGAAAUUCUUCAUAAAUGCAAUAAGAAAAACUCGUAUGCAGAAAUACAUGGAUUCUUCCCCCUUUUCUUUGAUUCCUGGGCUGCUCCAUGUCUGUGUUGGGAUAAUAAGAUUAUUACCUCAUUUCUUGUGCUGAAAACGGAAGAUAAUCCCCUCCAGGACUGAGAUGGAGGUAUUUUGCUCCGGGAUUUCCUCUUCCUGGACAAACACCUGGCGCAGUCGGUAGGAUUCCUCUGAACCUGAAAUCUGUUAUAAUGGGUGCGACCUUUGGGAAGGCCGCCCCAAGAAAUGAUGGGGAGAAGUGGCGCUCGCGCUGAGGGACAUCUGUCUACACUCAUGUGGUUGUGGAGGUACCACCACAGCUGCUGGCCACGCCGACCCAGCCCGUGGCCCGAGCCUAAGGCUACUGUUCUGCUACUGCUGCUGCUCCUGCUGCCGGCCGGAGCCUGGCCACAACCAUGGAAAGGAGCAGAGGUCCGGGUCACCUUGAUAGAGAAGCAACUGGCUGCUGUGUACCACACCUUGCUGGCUAGGGAACCCAUCACAGGAACAGCUCCGACCAAGGUAAUAACCACCUAUUCCAUCCGCGGGGUGGGUGAGAGACUGGACCCAAAGGCCAUGGGUGGUGUGGCACAGACACCUACUGUAUUCAUGUGACUGGCCAUUUGCCUUUGGCAUCCCCAGGGGAUGGUAAAGCAGACGCAUUGGCCCAGGUGUGCUGGCUAGAAGAAAAGCCUGCCUCUGAUGUGGCCAAAUGGUUACGUCAGCGUUUGUUGCACGUGGGGCAAAAGGCAAUGUGAGCUGUAGCCUGUCGGUGGGGCUUGCCUUUGACCUUUGAAGAAGUCAGCCGAGCCCAGAAGGAGUGCCCUGCACGUUGUGCAGAUCAGCAAACCACCAAGAGGGGCCUAGAGCGUCUCUUUGCAGACUAUGGCUGGUCGCCGGUGAUUGAGAGUGAUCAAGGCACCCUCUUUUUUGGACAUGGGUUGAAAGGAUGGGUGCAGCUAUUAAGAAUAAAAUGGAUGUGGCCCUUGACAUUUUGGCACAUGACCGGCGAUGGCUGGCUCUUCUGGCACUUAAGGGAAAAGACAUGGAAAGCUGGCCUCCUGUGUAUUCCUGGAAUAACAGCGAAUUGGACCCCCACAAUCACGGUUGCUUUCUCCUACAGUUCUUGUGUCCUGGAAGCGCCCUCUGGCUGCAGCUGCUGCGUGAUGGCUGGAAUGGACGAGCUUUGGACUUAAUCUGAAUGCGACCUUGAACCUAGCUGAAUCCUCUGGCUUGAGAAUUAUCACGAUUGUGUUGCUCUUGUCAAGAAAAAAAUGCUUAAAGAGAGGCUUGACUUUGUCUAAUGUUUGGUAAAAGUUUUGUGAGCAAUAUAGCAUGGUUGUUACGAAUGAGUAAACAAGUGUAGAAACAUUUUGUUCUUAGUGAUAGAUUGUGCUGUAAAGUACAUUUACUUAAUCUGCAUAGGCUGAAUCCUCUGGUUUGAGGAUUAUCAAGAUUUUAUUGCUAUUGCUAUGUAUGUUACUAGAUUGGUCAGAAGAGGGGGGACGAGUAAAUUGUAAGGCGAGACUUGGAGGGGUGGCCUGUUGAUAAAACUGUAACAUUUCCAGAAUAUCUCGCCUGGCUUUAGUAUAUCUGCAUAUCAAUAGGCGUUCAUAGGUGGAAAGAAGUGUGGCUUUAGUGCCUUUGCAUCAUUCCUAAGGGGUGGAGAGAAGUUCAUCUCCCUAUCAAUGGGUAAUUACCCCGGCAAGGAGGGCUUAUCUGUACCUGAGAGGUGAGGGGGAGGGCCAGUUUUGCUGCUACUUGUACUGGAGAGAGAGAUGGGCAGGACUGCACUUUUGUAAGCAAUAAAUGAAUUUUAAACUUUAUUUCUCCCUUUGACUGAUUUCGGUUUUUAGAGGUAUUUUGCCCCGGGAUUUCCUCUCUGCAGACUUACAGUUGGAAAUACUUUAUGUAUGAUAGACUAUACAUACUUCAAGUGUAUCCGUUCAUGGGUUUUGACAUGUAUUGUCAUGAAAUUGUUACCACAAUUAAGUUAAUGAACAUGUUAGUCCUAUAAGUUUACUUAUGCCCUUUUGUAAAUCAUCCCUUCCUAUCUCCAUCCAUCCCCAAACAACCAUUGACCUCCUUUUCUGUCACUAUAUAUUAAUUUGCAUUUUCUAAAAUGUUAUAUAAAUGGAAGCAAACAGUAGGUACUCUUUA
Manis pentadactyla (Chinese pangolin) is the source of this 2440-nucleotide long non-coding RNA. RefSeq lists it as uncharacterized. The transcript has 3 exons. The record is from RefSeq and is a predicted model, not a curated record. NCBI's taxonomy places the organism in Eukaryota, Metazoa, Chordata, Mammalia, Pholidota, Manidae.